This is a transfer RNA of Camelus ferus (Wild Bactrian camel), 72 nucleotides long. It matches the Rfam family "tRNA". Rfam says of the family: Transfer RNA (tRNA) molecules are approximately 80 nucleotides in length. Their secondary structure includes four short double-helical elements and three loops (D, anti-codon, and T loops). The record is from Rfam. Lineage: Eukaryota; Metazoa; Chordata; Mammalia; Artiodactyla; Camelidae.
GAGGGCAGAGCUCAGUGGUAGCGUGCCUGCUUAGCAUACAUGAGGUCCUGGGUUCAAUCCCCAGUACCUCCA